Molecule: ribosomal RNA, 253 nt
Filed under: uncultured bacterium
Lineage: Bacteria
Description: partial 16S ribosomal RNA
Rfam family: Bacterial small subunit ribosomal RNA
Source: RNAcentral
UACGAAGGGGGCUAGCGUUGCUCGGAAUUAUUGGGCGUAAAGAGCUCGUAGGCGGUCCGUCACGUCGGCUGUGAAAACCUGGGGCUCAACCCCGGGCCUGCAGCCGAUACGGGCGGACUAGAAUUCGGUAGGGGAGACUGGAAUUCCUGGUGUAGCGGUGAAAUGCGCAGAUAUCAGGAGGAACACCGGUGGCGAAGGCGGGUCUCUGGGCCGAUAUUGACGCUGAGGAGCGAAAGCGUGGGGAGCGAACAGG